CUACGGGCCGCUGCAGUAAGGAAUAUUGCGCAAUGGAGGCAACUCUGACGCAGCCAUGCCGCGUGCAGGAAGAAGGCCUUAUGGGUCGUAAACUGCUUUUAUUUAGGAAUAAACCCCCGAACGUGUUCGGGGCUGAAGGUACUAAACGAAUAAGCACCGGCUAACUCCGUGCCAGCAGCCGCGGUAAUACGGAGGGUGCAAGCGUUAUCCGGAUUUAUUGGGUUUAAAGGGUGCGCAGGCGGGCUAUUAAGUCAGUGGUGAAAUCCCGGGGCUCAACUCCGGAACUGCCAUUGAUACUGAUAGUCUUGAGUUUGGUUGAAGUGGGCGGAAUGUAGCAUGUAGCGGUGAAAUGCAUAGAUAUGCUACAGAACACCAAUCGCGAAGGCAGCUCACUAAGCCAAAACUGACGCUCAUGCGCGAAAGCGUGGGGAUCAAACAGGAUUAGAUACCCUGGUAGUC
This 459-nucleotide ribosomal RNA is filed under the name uncultured bacterium. Its description in RNAcentral is "partial 16S ribosomal RNA". It matches the Rfam family "Bacterial small subunit ribosomal RNA", at positions 339 to 795 of the family's 1533-position model. The record is from RNAcentral.